This 782-nucleotide ribosomal RNA is filed under the name Enterobacter hormaechei. Its description in RNAcentral is "partial 23S ribosomal RNA". It matches the Rfam family "Bacterial large subunit ribosomal RNA", at positions 410 to 1194 of the family's 2925-position model. Lineage: Bacteria; Pseudomonadati; Pseudomonadota; Gammaproteobacteria; Enterobacterales; Enterobacteriaceae. The record is from RNAcentral.
GAGUAGGGCGGGACACGUGGUAUCCUGUCUGAAUAUGGGGGGACCAUCCUCCAAGGCUAAAUACUCCUGACUGACCGAUAGUGAACCAGUACCGUGAGGGAAAGGCGAAAAGAACCCCGGCGAGGGGAGUGAAAAAGAACCUGAAACCGUGUACGUACAAGCAGUGGGAGCCUCUUUAUGGGGUGACUGCGUACCUUUUGUAUAAUGGGUCAGCGACUUAUAUUCUGUAGCAAGGUUAACCGUAUAGGGGAGCCGAAGGGAAACCGAGUCUUAACUGGGCGUUAAGUUGCAGGGUAUAGACCCGAAACCCGGUGAUCUAGCCAUGGGCAGGUUGAAGGUUGGGUAACACUAACUGGAGGACCGAACCGACUAAUGUUGAAAAAUUAGCGGAUGACCUGUGGCUGGGGGUGAAAGGCCAAUCAAACCGGGAGAUAGCUGGUUCUCCCCGAAAGCUAUUUAGGUAGCGCCUCGUGAACUCAUCUUCGGGGGUAGAGCACUGUUUCGGCUAGGGGGCCAUCCCGGCUUACCAACCCGAUGCAAACUACGAAUACCGAAGAAUGUUAUCACGGGAGACACACGGCGGGUGCUAACGUCCGUCGUGAAGAGGGAAACAACCCAGACCGCCAGCUAAGGUCCCAAAGUCAUGGUUAAGUGGGAAACGAUGUGGGAAGGCACAGACAGCCAGGAUGUUGGCUUAGAAGCAGCCAUCAUUUAAAGAAAGCGUAAUAGCUCACUGGUCGAGUCGGCCUGCGCGGAAGAUGUAACGGGGCUAAACCAUGCAC